RNAcentral lists this ribosomal RNA (734 nucleotides) under uncultured bacterium. Its description in RNAcentral is "partial 16S ribosomal RNA". The record is from RNAcentral.
UUACCUUGUUACGACUUCACCCCAAUCAUCAGCCCCACCUUCGGCAGCGUCCCCCUCGCGGUUAGACUACUGACUUCGGGUGUUGCCAACUCUCAUGGUGUGACGGGCGGUGUGUACAAGGCCCGGGAACGUAUUCACGGCAGUAUGCUGACCUGCCAUUACUAGCAAUUCCGACUUCAUGUGGGCGAGUUGCAGCCCACAAUCUGAACUGAGACUACUUUUCUGGGAUUUGCUCCGCUUCUCAGCUUCGCUUCCCUCUGUAGUAGCCAUUGUAGUACGUGUGUAGCCCAGGACAUAAGGGGCAUGAUGAUUUGACGUCAUCCCCACCUUCCUCCGAUUUGUCACCGGCAGUCUCGCUAGAGUGACCACCUCUAUGUGCUGUCAACUAACGACAAGGGUUGCGCUCGUUGCGGGACUUAACCCAACAUCUCACGACACGAGCUGACGACAACCAUGCACCACCUGUACUGAUGCCCCGAAGGCUGCGUCAAUCUCUUGCGCAUCCAUCAGUAUGUCAAGCCCUGGUAAGGUUCUUCGCGUUGCUUCGAAUUAAACCACAUACUCCACUGCUUGUGCGGGCCCCCGUCAAUUCCUUUGAGUUUCAACCUUGCGGCCGUACUCCCCAGGUGGGAUACUUAUUGUGUUAAUCCGGCACGAAGGCGUCGAUACCUCCACACCUAGUAUCCAUCGUUUACAGCGUGGACUACCAGGGUAUCUACUCCUGUUUCCUCCCA